GGCUUACCUGCAAGUCGAGCGGGGAAGGGUAGCUUGCUACCUGACCUAGCGGCGGACGGGUGAGUAAUGCUUAGGAAUCUGCCUAUUAGUGGGGGACAACAUUCCGAAAGGAAUGCUAAUACCGCAUACGCCCUACGGGGGAAAGCAGGGGAUCUUCGGACCUUGCGCUAAUAGAUGAGCCUAAGUCAGAUUAGCUAGUUGGUGGGGUAAAGGCCUACCAAGGCGACGAUCUGUAGCGGGUCUGAGAGGAUGAUCCGCCACACUGGGACUGAGACACGGCCCAGACUCCUACGGGAGGCAGCAGUGGGGAAUAUUGGACAAUGGGCGAAAGCCUGAUCCAGCCAUGCCGCGUGUGUGAAGAAGGCCUUUUGGUUGUAAAGCACUUUAAGCGAGGAGGAGGCUACCGAGAUUAAUACUCUUGGAUAGUGGACGUUACUCGCAGAAUAAGCACCGGCUAACUCUGUGCCAGCAGCCGCGGUAAUACAGAGGGUGCGAGCGUUAAUCGGAUUUACUGGGCGUAAAGCGUGCGUAGGCGGCUUUUUAAGUCGGAUGUGAAAUCCCUGAGCUUAACUUAGGAAUUGCAUUCGAUACUGGGAAGCUAGAGUAUGGGAGAGGAUGGUAGAAUUCCAGGUGUAGCGGUGAAAUGCGUAGAGAUCUGGAGGAAUACCGAUGGCGAAGGCAGCCAUCUGGCCUAAUACUGACGCUGAGGUACGAAAGCAUGGGGAGCAAACAGGAUUAGAUACCCUGGUAGUCCAUGCCGUAAACGAUGUCUACUAGCCGUUGGGGCCUUUGAGGCUUUAGUGGCGCAGCUAACGCGAUAAGUAGACCGCCUGGGGAGUACGGUCGCAAGACUAAAACUCAAAUGAAUUGACGGGGGCCCGCACAAGCGGUGGAGCAUGUGGUUUAAUUCGAUGCAACGCGAAGAACCUUACCUGGUCUUGACAUAGUAAGAACUUUCCAGAGAUGGAUUGGUGCCUUCGGGAACUUACAUACAGGUGCUGCAUGGCUGUCGUCAGCUCGUGUCGUGAGAUGUUGGGGUUAAGUCCC
This 1047-nucleotide ribosomal RNA is filed under the name Acinetobacter johnsonii. Its description in RNAcentral is "bacterial SSU rRNA". It matches the Rfam family "Bacterial small subunit ribosomal RNA", at positions 45 to 1088 of the family's 1533-position model. The record is from RNAcentral. Lineage: Bacteria; Pseudomonadati; Pseudomonadota; Gammaproteobacteria; Moraxellales; Moraxellaceae.